RNAcentral lists this ribosomal RNA (391 nucleotides) under uncultured bacterium. RNAcentral's name for it is "bacterial SSU rRNA". It matches the Rfam family "Bacterial small subunit ribosomal RNA", at positions 505 to 898 of the family's 1533-position model. The record is from RNAcentral.
GUGUCAGCAGCCGCGGUACUACGGAGGAUGCAAGCGUUAUCCGGAUUCAUUGGGUUUAAAGGGUGCGUAGGCGGACUAUUAAGUCAGUGGUGAAAUCCUGCAGCUUAACUGCAGAACUGCCGUUGAUACUGAUAGUCUUGAGUUUGGUUAAGGUAGGCGGAAUGUGUAAUGUAGCGGUGAAAUGCUUAGAUAUUACACAGAACACCAAUUGCGUAGGCAGCUUACUGAGCCGACACUGACGCUGAGGCACGAAAGCGUGGGGAUCGAACAGGAUUAGAUACCCUGGUAGUCCACGCCGUAAACGAUGAUUACUCGCUGUUGGCGAUACACAGUCAGCGGCUAAGCAAAAGCAAUAAGUAAUCCACCUGGGGAGUACGGCCGCAAGGUUGAA